ACAAACAAGGGCCAAUUUUUGUCGUUUUAUUUAAAAUAAUUGACUGGUUUUAUAAAUCCGUUUUAUUAGCUGUGAAAGAAUGCUUGCGGGACUCUUCUAUUACAGAGCAGAAAAGACAGGUUGUCAAAAAUGGAAUAGUCUUUAAUGCGGCAUAGGUGAUGUUUUCUAUAAACGAAACACGAUGAUGGCCUGAACGAAGUGGCGAAAGAGAAAGAGAUAGGGACUGACCGGCCACAACCGAGUCGACGUGUGCUCAAUCAGCAAUAUGCGUUUACCAACUGAGCACUUAACCCAAUUACCAUAAAAAGUACGGUCAUCACACUGCAAUGAGAUUUAAGUCUCCGAACACGGUCCAAACCAAAUUUAAAUCAAAAAUUUUUCUUCAAGUUGAUAGCCGCCAUUUCGAUAUCGUUAGUUUAGCGAGCCAAGAUUCUACCCUACAUACUUAUUUAGUACAUAGCAUUUUUAACACAGGGACACCAUGAGCGAGAAUCUUCGAAAAUACAAACUGGAAAAAUCUCGCGGCCUUUCUAUUGUGCGCUCCUUCAUUCUCAUUACAUAAAUGGACCCAAUAGCAAAAUAAUAUUCCAUUUUAGCCUUUUCAAUAUAAAGUAGACCCUAAAUGACAUAGCGAUUUAUAUUAACGCUAUCUGGAUCCAUUGCAAUGGAAAUUUGUUGGUAAUCUUCGUGCUGCCGAGAAUAUAUUAAAAUUCAUGUCACUAUCUAAUUUGUGCCCGAUUUCGAUCAAAUUGCAUGAUAAGUUCAGUUCUCAUGGGGAUGUAAUUAAUGCCAGGUUUUUUAAACAUGUGCCAAAAGAGGAAACACUUCGUGAAAUCAGUAACCGAGUUGUAACUGAAAUUUACUCCAAACUCCAAAUGAAACCAAACGUUGAUCAAGCAAAUAUCCUACAGCCUAGAAAUCUUAAUGCAUCCGCAACAUCAAUUCCCAACGCCAAUCGACCACUUAUAAAUUGUAGGCCCAAAGUAUCACUCAAAUUUGCCCACUCCUAGCACUUCAAGCGUGCGCAACCGCUUGAAAGGUAAAUUCGAUUUUUCCGUCGAUAAGAAUAACGAAAUAAUAGCGCAAAAUUGCCAUAGCGACAUCUUUGACGACAAUUACUA
Glossina fuscipes is the source of this 1121-nucleotide long non-coding RNA. RefSeq lists it as uncharacterized. The record is from RefSeq and is a predicted model, not a curated record. NCBI's taxonomy places the organism in Eukaryota, Metazoa, Arthropoda, Insecta, Diptera, Glossinidae. The transcript has 3 exons.